Molecule: ribosomal RNA, 253 nt
Filed under: uncultured bacterium
Lineage: Bacteria
Description: partial 16S ribosomal RNA
Rfam family: Bacterial small subunit ribosomal RNA
Source: RNAcentral
UACGUAGGUGGCAAGCGUUGUCCGGAUUUACUGGGCGUAAAGAGCGCGCAGGCGGUCGGAUAAGUCGAAUGUGAAAGCCCCCGGCUCAACUGGGGAGGGUCAUUCGAUACUGUUCGACUCGAAGGCAGGAGAGGGAAGUGGAAUUCCCGGUGUAGUGGUGAAAUGCGUAGAUAUCUGGAGGAACACCGGUGGCGAAGGCGGCAUCCUGGACCGGCAUUGACGCUGAGGAGCGAAAGCCAGGGGAGCAAACGGG